RNAcentral lists this ribosomal RNA (254 nucleotides) under uncultured bacterium. RNAcentral's name for it is "partial 16S ribosomal RNA". It matches the Rfam family "Bacterial small subunit ribosomal RNA", at positions 524 to 776 of the family's 1533-position model. The record is from RNAcentral.
UACGGGGGGAGCAAGCGUUGUUCGGAUUUACUGGGCGUAAAGGGCGCGUAGGCGGCCAGCACAAGUCAGUUGUGAAAUCUCCGAGCUUAACUCGGAACGGUCAACUGAUACUGUGCGGCUAGAGUGCGGAAGGGGCAACUGGAAUUCUUGGUGUAGCGGUGAAAUGCGUAGAUAUCAAGAGGAACACCUGCGGCGAAGGCGGGUUGCUGGGCCGACACUGACGCUCAUGCACGAAAGCGUGGGGAGCAAACAGG